CACACAUUCAUAAUGAAUGCGUAAUUUAUUACAUGAACACUAUAUCUGAGGACACGAUUUCUCAAGAAAUCUUUCUUUUCAGGCUACCUCCAGAACGUUCAGUCCAUGGUGCUGUCUAACCAAAAGUUAUGGAUGUUAGCGGGCUACGGUGACAAUAGGAGGUGAGUUUUAGCAAACGCUUUAGCCAAUCAACCAUCUCUAUUAUGGUCACAUGUUAUCUUAAAUGUAAUCCCGAAGUUUUGUACUUGAAAUGUAAUCAUAUAAUACCGCAUGAUUCUCAGCAAUAUCGUAUCAUUAAUUUGCUAUCUGACCUACAAAACACGCAACAUCUUAAAUGUAUUUUAUAAAAUGUUCUAUACUUGAUUAUAUAAACAUUUUUGUCAACAAUGCAAGCCAGUAUUAAUAUGAGAUCAUGACACGCCACCCAUGUAUCGCCGUUCCGAAAGAUACAAUUUUGUGAAAGAUUUGAAGCAAAUUGUAACGCAGACUUUAUCAUCGCCGGUAAAAAUAAUCUCAAUCUAUAUAGGUUACUGAUAUUUCUUGGUACAAAAUAUCAUUUUCUGGGAACUAAUUUCCAUAUUUUUGAAACACGAAAGAAAUGCUUGUCAACAUAAG
Molecule: non-coding RNA, 615 nt
Organism: Paramuricea clavata
Lineage: Eukaryota; Metazoa; Cnidaria; Anthozoa; Malacalcyonacea; Plexauridae
Source: the annotation of a GenBank genome assembly